Mustela putorius furo (domestic ferret) is the source of this 118-nucleotide small nuclear RNA. Its record names the gene U5. It matches the Rfam family "U5 spliceosomal RNA". From Rfam's summary of the family: U5 RNA is a component of both types of known spliceosome. The precise function of this molecule is unknown, though it is known that the 5' loop is required for splice site selection and p220 binding, and that both the 3' stem-loop and the Sm site are important for Sm protein binding and cap methylation. The record is from Ensembl. Lineage: Eukaryota; Metazoa; Chordata; Mammalia; Carnivora; Mustelidae.
AUGCUCUGGUUUCUCUUCAGAUCGUAUAAAUCUUUCGCCUUUUACUAAAGAUUUCCGUGGAGAGGAACAAUUCUGAGUUUUGACUCAAUUUUUUGAAGCCUUGUUAAUUAGCAAGGCU